Melanotaenia boesemani (Boeseman's rainbowfish) is the source of this 98-nucleotide long non-coding RNA. RefSeq lists it as uncharacterized. Lineage: Eukaryota; Metazoa; Chordata; Actinopteri; Atheriniformes; Melanotaeniidae. The record is from RefSeq and is a predicted model, not a curated record. The transcript is spliced from 3 exons.
UUUGAUCCAGAACAGGUCAGAACAUGUUCGGGAACGUUCCAAACGCUUUGAUCCAGAACAGGUCGGAACAUGUUCGGGAACGUUCCAAACUCUUUGAU